Molecule: ribosomal RNA, 253 nt
Filed under: uncultured bacterium
Lineage: Bacteria
Description: partial 16S ribosomal RNA
Rfam family: Bacterial small subunit ribosomal RNA
Source: RNAcentral
UACAGAGGGGGCAAGCGUUGUUCGGAAUUACUGGGCGUAAAGGGCGCGUAGGCGGCCUGCUAAGUCGAACGUGAAAUCCCCGGGCUCAACCCGGGAACUGCGUCCGAUACUGGCAGGCUUGAAUCCGGGAGAGGGAUGUGGAAUUCCAGGUGUAGCGGUGAAAUGCGUAGAUGUCUGGAGGAACACCGGUGGCGAAGGCGGCAUCCUGGACCGGUAUUGACGCUGAUGCGCGAAAGCCAGGGGAGCAAACGGG